AACAAAGAAGUAAAAAUUACAUUUAGUUUCGACCUAAAAUUAAGAAAUAAGUCUCAUGUUU
This 61-nucleotide transfer RNA is filed under the name Bothrogonia tibetana. Its description in RNAcentral is "tRNA-Arg". Lineage: Eukaryota; Metazoa; Arthropoda; Insecta; Hemiptera; Cicadellidae. The record is from RNAcentral.